Molecule: long non-coding RNA, 285 nt
Organism: Oxyura jamaicensis (ruddy duck)
Lineage: Eukaryota; Metazoa; Chordata; Aves; Anseriformes; Anatidae
Exons: 2
Source: RefSeq, a predicted model, not a curated record
AACAAACAAACAAACAAAACACAUUUUAAAGGCAAGCAGUUGCAUCAGAGAAAAAAUAUGAAAUCUGAUACUGAUAAAAAUUGGAUACAGUCAAGUGGAUAUUUUCAGGGGAAAAAAUUGUAGUCAUAGCUUUACAGGUUCUUAGAAGCCAUGUGAACAGAAAUACCUUAACUUGCACUUAAACAUUAAAUUCGACUCAAUUUUACUUGCAGUUUUGUUCUAUUUUUCAGAAUAAGAGAAGGAGAAACUAUCACUUUAAUUACAGCAGGCAUGACAUGCAAGAAA